This 398-nucleotide ribosomal RNA is filed under the name Nautilus pompilius. RNAcentral's name for it is "partial 16S ribosomal RNA". It matches the Rfam family "Bacterial large subunit ribosomal RNA", at positions 1943 to 2553 of the family's 2925-position model. The record is from RNAcentral. Lineage: Eukaryota; Metazoa; Mollusca; Cephalopoda; Nautilida; Nautilidae.
UGACCGUACUAAGGUAGCAUAAUAAUUUGCCUUUUAAUUGGAGGCUAGUAUGAAUGGCUUGACGUGAAAUAUACUGUCUCAACUAUAUUUAGUAGAAUUUAACUUUUAGGUGAAGAGGCCUAAAUUUUGUGGGAAGACAAGAAGACCCUAUUGAGCUUUAAAUAUUUAUGUUAGUGGGAGCCUAAGAUUUAUAUGAUGGUCAUUACUUCUAAGUAUGUUGGUUGGGGCGACCGAGGAGUAUAAAGUAACCUCCUUGUAAUGUAAAGAAUUUGUUAUCAACGAACCUGUAAUAUGGGUUAUUCGGUAGUUACCAUAGGGAUAACAGCGUAAUUCUUUUGAAGAGUUCAUAUCGAAGAAAGAGAUUGCGACCUCGAUGUUGGAUUAAGGUGUCCUAAGGG